AGAGCGAACGCUGGCGGCAGGCCUAAUACAUGCAAGUCGAACGGACCCUUCGGGGUUAGUGGCGGACGGGUGAGUAACACGUGGGAACGUGCCCUUUGGUUCGGAACAACUCAGGGAAACUUGAGCUAAUACCGAAUGUGCCCCCAUCCUUAAACAAGAUGGGUGGGAAAGAUUUAUCGCCAUUGGAGCGGCCCGCGUCUGAUUAGCUAGUUGGUGGGGUAAAGGCUCACCAAGGCGACGAUCAGUAGCUGGUCUGAGAGGAUGAUCAGCCACACUGGGACUGAGACACGGCCCAGACUCCUACGGGAGGCAGCAGUAGGGAAUCUUGCGCAAUGGGCGAAAGCCUGACGCAGCCAUGCCGCGUGAAUGAUGAAGGUCUUAGGAUUGUAAAAUUCUUUCAGCGGGGACGAUAAUGACGGUACCCGCAGAAGAAGCCCCGGCUAACUUCGUGCCAGCAGCCGC
RNAcentral lists this ribosomal RNA (462 nucleotides) under uncultured bacterium. RNAcentral's name for it is "SSU rRNA". It matches the Rfam family "Bacterial small subunit ribosomal RNA", at positions 26 to 518 of the family's 1533-position model. The record is from RNAcentral.